Molecule: unclassified non-coding RNA, 334 nt
Filed under: soil metagenome
Description: partial contains 5.8S ribosomal RNA, internal transcribed spacer 2, and large subunit ribosomal RNA
Rfam family: 5.8S ribosomal RNA (bases 1-120)
Source: RNAcentral
GAUGAAGAACGCAUCGAAAUGCGAUAAGUAAUGUGAAUUGCAGAAUUCAGUGAAUCAUCGAAUCUUUGAACGCACAUUGCGCCCGCCAGUAUUCUGGCGGGCAUGCCUGUUCGAGCGUCAUUUCAACCAUCAAGCCCCAGGCUUGUGUUGGAGCCCUGCGGCUGCCGCAGCCUCCCAAAACCAGUGGCGGGCUCGCUAUCACACCGAGUGCAGUAGUUUACUCUUCGCUCAGGGCGUGUGGCGGGUGCUAGCCGUAAAACCCCCAACUUCUCAAGGUUGACCUCGGAUCAGGUAGGAAUACCCGCUGAACUUAAGCAUAUCAAUAAGCGGAGGA